CCUACGGGAGGCAGCAGUGGGGAAUCUUAGACAAUGGGCGCAAGCCUGAUCUAGCCAUGCCGCGUGUGUGAUGAAGGCCUUAGGGUCGUAAAGCACUUUCGCCAGGGAUGAUAAUGACAGUACCUGGUAAAGAAACCCCGGCUAACUCCGUGCCAGCAGCCGCGGUAAUACGGAGGGGGUUAGCGUUGUUCGGAAUUACUGGGCGUAAAGCGUACGUAGGCGGAUCAGAAAGUAGGGGGUGAAAUCCCAGGGCUCAACCCUGGAACUGCCUCCUAAACUCCUGGUCUUGAGUUCGAGAGAGGUGAGUGGAAUUCCAAGUGUAGAGGUGAAAUUCGUAGAUAUUUGGAGGAACACCAGUGGCGAAGGCGGCUCACUGGCUCGAUACUGACGCUGAGGUACGAAAGUGUGGGGAGCAAACAGGAUUAGAUACCCUGGUAGUCCACACCGUAAACGAUGAAUGCCAGUCGUCGGGCAGUAUACUGUUCGGUGACACACCUAACGCAUAAGCUCCGC
This 513-nucleotide ribosomal RNA is filed under the name uncultured bacterium. RNAcentral describes it as "bacterial SSU rRNA". It matches the Rfam family "Bacterial small subunit ribosomal RNA", at positions 338 to 872 of the family's 1533-position model. The record is from RNAcentral.